UACGGAGGGUGCAAGCGUUAUCCGGAUUCACUGGGUUUAAAGGGUGCGUAGGUGGGUUGGUAAGUCAGUGGUGAAAUCCCCGAGCUUAACUUGGGAACUGCCAUUGAUACUAUCAGUCUUGAAUACCGUGGAGGUCAGCGGAAUAUGUCAUGUAGCGGUGAAAUGCUUAGAUAUGACAUAGAACACCAAUUGCGAAGGCAGCUGGCUACACAUAUAUUGACACUGAUGCACGAAAGCGUGGGGAUCAAACAGG
This 253-nucleotide ribosomal RNA is filed under the name uncultured bacterium. Its description in RNAcentral is "partial 16S ribosomal RNA". It matches the Rfam family "Bacterial small subunit ribosomal RNA", at positions 524 to 776 of the family's 1533-position model. The record is from RNAcentral.